GCAUUCAUACAUACACAUCCUAAAUAUCCCCAGCAAUUGCAUCCCUUCAUGCAUCUAAUGCAUCAUCCCAUGCAUGGCAUUGCUACCCAAAGUGAAACAUCAUACAAACAUAAAAUAUCAAGAUCCAGGGUCGUCCAUAUGUAUCCCGGACUUUCCUCAUUUAAUUCAAUAGAGUUAUUACCUUGCAUGUGCUCGUGGAAUUAUUUCCCAGCCAAUCAUUCUUCAACUUUGUGAUUAAUAAUGAUAUUCCCCAACAUU
RNAcentral lists this long non-coding RNA (258 nucleotides) under Lathyrus oleraceus (garden pea). RNAcentral describes it as "Pisum sativum (pea) long non-coding RNA (PSAT_LNC011061)". The record is from RNAcentral. Lineage: Eukaryota; Viridiplantae; Streptophyta; Magnoliopsida; Fabales; Fabaceae.